AACGCGAAGAACCUUACCCAGGCUCGAAAUGUAAUGGACGAUAUCAGAGAUGAUAUUUUCCGCAAGGACCGUUAUAUAGGUGCUGCAUGGCUGUCGUCAGCUCGUGCCGUGAGGUGUUUGGUUAAGUCCAGCAACGAGCGCAACCCUUAUCAUUAGUUGCCAACAUUUAGGUGGGGACUCUAGUGAGACUGCCUGGGUUAACCAGGAGGAAGGUGAGGAUGACGUCAAGUCCGCAUGGCCUUUAUGUCUGGGGCUACACACGUGCUACAAUGGUCGGUACAGAAGGCAGCAAGACCGCAAGGUGGAGCAAAUCCGUAAAGCCGAUCUCAGUUCAGAUUGUAGUCUGCAACUCGACUACAUGAAGCUGGAAUUGCUAGUAAUGACGUGUCAGCAACAACGUCGUGAAUACGUUCCCGGGCCUUGUA
This 425-nucleotide ribosomal RNA is filed under the name uncultured Chlamydiae bacterium. RNAcentral describes it as "bacterial SSU rRNA". It matches the Rfam family "Bacterial small subunit ribosomal RNA", at positions 958 to 1385 of the family's 1533-position model. Lineage: Bacteria; Pseudomonadati; Chlamydiota; Chlamydiia. The record is from RNAcentral.